UCGCUAGCUAACUGCUAAUCGCUAGCUACAUGCUAAUCGCUAGCUACAUGCUAAUCGCUAGCUAAGCGCUAAUCGCUAGCUAAGUGCUAGCUCUGGUUAAUGUGUUUAAUUGUAUUAUGCUCCUGAAGGAGUGCUAAUGUAAAUUAAGGAACAGCUCAUAGUAGGGUAAAAUAUUUAAGGUGUAUUGAACUUAUUUUGUGUUAAUAUUAAAAUCAUUCAGCUUUAAAUUGUUUGCUUGUUAGCCACCUGCUAAUUAUCUUUAGCUAGCCAGCUAGCGCUAGAUUAUUAAUGCCAUGUAAUCCUCCCUAUAGCAUAUUGAUAACCUGUCAUCCUCCUUAGCUAGCGCUAGCAUAUUAAUAUCAUGUCAUUCUCUUUAGCUAGCUAGCUAGAGCUAGCACACAUAAACACAUAAACCAAAGCUAGCGCUUAGCUACGUGCUAAUCGCUAGCUAACCGCUAAUCGCUAGCUACGUGCUAAUCGCUAGCUGAGCGCUAAUCGCUAGCUAAGUGCUAGCUUUGGUUAAUGUGUUUAAUUGUAUUUUGCUCCUGAAGGAGUGCUAAUGUAAAUUAAGGAACAGCUCAUAGUAGGGUAAAAUAUUUAAGGUGUAUUGAACUUAUUUUGUGUUAAUAUUAAAAUCAUUCAGCUUUAAA
Dicentrarchus labrax (European seabass) is the source of this 650-nucleotide long non-coding RNA. RefSeq lists it as uncharacterized. Lineage: Eukaryota; Metazoa; Chordata; Actinopteri; Moronidae. The transcript is spliced from 2 exons. The record is from RefSeq and is a predicted model, not a curated record.